RNAcentral lists this ribosomal RNA (537 nucleotides) under Triticum aestivum (bread wheat). RNAcentral's name for it is "partial small subunit ribosomal RNA". The record is from RNAcentral. Lineage: Eukaryota; Viridiplantae; Streptophyta; Magnoliopsida; Poales; Poaceae.
AUGUUAGGCGGCUUGAUAAACUUAGCCGACACACUGCCUUCUGACUUGACGAAGUUCCUAGUCCAGUCGUACGACCCAGACAGUUCAGCUUUGGUAUUUCCAGGCAGGGGCACUAUUCCAGUAGAUGCUGCUAGUGUGCACAGGAAUUUUGGUUUACCCAACAGAGGGCCGCGUCUGAAAUACAUUGUUGAAAAGGAGGUUGUGAAGAGUUUCAAUCACAUGUUCAACCACACCGGGCCACCCAAACACCCCACGAUCACCGAAUUCAGCAAGACGAUGAGAGCUAUGAAGGGAACAACUGAUAACAAGUUCCUCACUGGCUGGCUUGCAAUUGGUUUCAACACCUUUUUAGCUCCUACCACAAGUCUUUCUCUGAGCCCACAUUGCUACGGUGCUGUCCUAGAACCUGAUGUUCUGUUGAAGAGUAAUGUGAGCUUAUUUGUUGUUGAGCACAUAAACAAAGCAUUCCGCAACAUGGGUGAGGACAAGCAAACAGUCUGUUGCUAUCUGUAUCAUUUGAUGGUGAGCUGUAAUUAA